Molecule: long non-coding RNA, 14247 nt
Organism: Sapajus apella (tufted capuchin)
Lineage: Eukaryota; Metazoa; Chordata; Mammalia; Primates; Cebidae
Exons: 2
Source: RefSeq, a predicted model, not a curated record
CACUCCAGCCUGGUGCCUGGCGACAGAGCAAGACUCUGUCUCAAAAAAACCCUGCAUUUGUUUUUCUGAUCUGUGGGCAGAAGCAUGAGCCUGCACAUCCAGCUGUGUGUCUCUCGCCAGCCUUCCUCUCAUCAGGGAAACCAUCUCCGUUAGACAGGCGGCCUCCAGAGGGAUGGGAUCGAAUGUGUGCUCUUCCCUCAUGAUGGGAGGUACCCGGGGUUCCUGUCCUGCUGCUUUGUGUGUGACUGGACUCUGAGAAGUGCAUGUCCCUCACGUCCUCGUCGCUGGCAGGUGAUGGAUUCAGGCCUGCGGUGGGAGGGGCGCUGCCCAGCAGGAGCUGUAUGGACAGGAGCCUCAGUGAGCCUGCUGGAUGGCUUGGCCUGCCUGGGCCUGUCCACAUUCACAGUCCAGUAGAGGCAGACCUUUUAUUCUUCCAUGCCUGCCACAGUACAUUCAGAUAUCUGGCCACAGGCAGAAGCAUGGGCUUUCCCUCUUCCAGGCCUCUGUAUUCUUUUGCUCCCUCCCCACCCCCUGGCCAGCACCCACCUGGUGUCAACCCGCUGCACAUGUGAGCACACUCCUGGUGGUGGGUGAGUCCUGGCGGCCCCGGCCACCCCGGGAAUCUGUAGGACCCUCAUGGAAUGCGCCUGCGCAGUCCCUGCCCCUUCCAGCUGGCUCUGGAACUGGAAGGAAGAUCAGGGAGCUGCCUAUCCACAAACCCAAUUUUAUCCUUGGGGUGGGGUUACAUGCCACCUCCACUCUGCCCAGUUGGUCAGUGCCAGCAGCACUCCCUGCCCCCUCAAGGUCCAGAUACCCUGAAGCCUCGGGAAUGCCUGUCCGCAUCUCUGGCUUUCCUCCUCCUCCCUGUGGUCCAUGGGCCUGACUCGCACGUGGGAAGCCUGAGGGUGGGAGCAGAGAGACUGUAGCGUGUGAGCCGAGGAUGGUGCCUCCUGCCCCUAGGGAGGCAAUGGCGUGGCCUGACGGGCUCGUGGGUGGCAAAAUGGACCUUCUGAGGACAGGUCCCAGCAGCCACCUGUUCUGUUCCCCAGAGUGAGAAGGGUAGAGGCAGCCGGUUUCAGCCCCACCCAGUAUCCCUGCCAGGAUCUCUGCCAUGACCAAGGCCUCAGCCGAGCCUUCAGCCUUCUUGCGGACACAUUGUGUUUUCUGCUUUCUUGCUCAGCUCUUCAUGUCACACAGCCUCUGGUGGCAUGCCUGUGCCCUUGCUGAGGCCUCUGGGUGCAGAGACUCCCAUCAGGGCCUUCCCUCAGGCAGGGCAGGUCUCCCGGCCUCUCCUGCCUGAAUGGCCAUUUUCCGGAAGCAGCCUUCCUGUUCCUGGUCUGUGCUCUUUGUGACUCUGUGCUGAUGAGCAGGUGUUUCAUGAUCCCUGAACUGCCUGGGUCUUUCAUGGUGUUCCUGCCUCCUCUACCCUCCCACUCUAGCACCAGCACUGCGUUUCAGAGACUCUAAGCUUGGAUAGCCCUGUCAGGUUUUAGCAGCGCCAUUUGGGAGAUGAGAGGUGGCUGAGCUGCUGAUGACAAAUGCGAUUCAGUGACAGAAAUGCAAAAUAAUUAGUCUGGGACCAGAGAACUACAAAGAACAUAUGCAGACUGGGACAAUCUUUUGGUUUCAUGAGAAACACAUUGAUUUAGAAAUAAUCUGGGGGAUGGCAUCAGUAGCUCCUAAACGGGUGAUGAGAGCCUGAGUUGAUUAUGAGUUGAAGUAGCAUGCUCACCUCCUUGUAACCAAUGACCGUGAUUCAAAAAGCGUUUUAUUUAUUGAAUGCCUCUUGGUGUCUGGGCCUUUCAUCCAUUCAUUCUUAUCAUGAAGUACUUAGAGGUCCACACUACCUUAAUCUCUCAGGUGCGAGCCAGUCUCUUGCUUGAGGUCGCAGCUGCUGGUUGGAGCCAGUUCAGACCUGCUCCAGGGCCGUUGCCAGCUGCGUGCCGGCAUGGGUAGUGGGGUUCGGAGGCCGCAGCACCUCUACCCCAGACUUUCUCGUUCCUAGCAGGCCUCUGCUCCCCUGACACUGGGAAUCGGGCACUGACACCCACAGUGCCGGCUGCUCUCGUGCGUUUCCUGGAGUGCAGGGGUCUUUGGUGGGUGUGAGGUUGUAGUCGCAGGUGUGUUCCUGUGGGUCUCAGACCUCUCGCAGUUCCAUGCCACCCAAGUGCCUUCUCCAGCCCAUCUCCUCCUUUCCAGGCUGCUGCCUUUCCCCAGUCUAGACCCCCAGUUGUUUCUGCUCCCUCCCUCAUGCCCAUCUAUUCCUGGUUCCUGACAUCUGGCCCUUGGUCCUUCCUGCCAGUGUGUGUGGCCUGAGGCCCUCUCCUUUGUGUGCAGCUGCUGCUCCAUGGCACAGCCCAGGGCACCUUUCCAAGAGGCUUUGUGUCCAUCGCCCUCAGGAGAAUCCUCCCUGGAUCAAACGUGCCAUGCUGUCCCUGCCAGCCUCUUAGCCCCAGCUCCUCCUCUGCUCUUUCCCCUGCCCUUUGGGUGCUCCCUUGCGGGCCCCACUCCACAGCCUCCUGUGUCUUGCUGGGGCUCUUUGGGGUGCCGCUCCUUUGUACCCCGUGAUCACUUCAGAUUUGCGUCCAUCUCCUCCUCAUUGUAAGCAGGGUAGGGCGGGGAUGUCUUCUCUGCGGCACUUCAAGACUGGCAAAGGCCCGUGGGCUCACGCCAGUCCCAAGCACUGGAACAAGCCGGUCAGGCCAGCACUGUGCAAGACUGUCCUCAGAGUGGGUUUGUUAAGAGGCCCCCUCCAGUAGGAUGUUCACAUGUCCUCAUCCCACCCUCAUCUGCUCUGCCUUUCCCUGGGCAUGCGGCCUUGGAUGUGACUCAGCCCGGUGGCUUUCUCCCAGGUUCUCAGUUGUAAUCUGCCAUUGUUUGAAAUGUCCUAUUGGCAGUGUGAAGGGGGGUUAUUUAUUCUCAGGUCUGUGGUUUCUAAUGAAGCCUGACCCACAGGGACAGUGUCAGUGAGCACCUGGUGGGUGGAGGCUCGUGGCUCACUGUGCGGCUGAUGACAGGCAUAAAAGCUGCCCAGUGAUCACUCUGCCUCCUUGCAGAAGGAACCUACUAAACUUGCGUGGGUUUUUUUUUUUUUUUUUUUUUUGAGAGUUUUAAAACUCUUGAGUGCCAGAAGAGGCCAGUCCUCAGAGAUGCUCUUCAGCCUCCUCACUCUUUCAGAGCUGGGUCAGGCCUGGUGUGUGCUUGGUGUCCAGGAGGCCGGCAGUAUCGGCUGAUGUCUGUUCUUAGUGACCACUUGGUGCACAUUCACUGUGCCUCGCCUGAGCUGCCGGGUCAGGUGUCCCCAGGCCUGAGAAGGGAGAUGGCUCUGCAGCUGUGCACAGGACCUCCAGGCUCCUGCGGUGUGUGGGCUGGGGGCCUCCAGUGAUCUGGUCCACAUUUGCUGUGUGCCUGAGUGCCUGUGCGUUUAUUGAAAAUGGAAUUUGAAGCUGCCUUUGUUACCACCCUUUUCUAGGUGGAGUCUUCAACCUGGGGCCCUCCAAGGGUUGUUCUUUGUAGGUUAUUCCUGUCCAUGGGCUGCACUCUGGGCCUUGCAUGUGUCUGUUCUUGGCUCUCGAGGCACUCUCCUUCAGCCUCUUGCCAGGUCUUUGCUGGAACCGGGGCCAUGUGGUAGGGGUGCCAUCCCUCGCCCAGCAGGAAGUGGCAGUGAGGACUGAAGCCUGGGCCUGUCCUCGAGUCCACUGCUCCAGCGCCGCAGGCCUCAGCCGCCUGUGGAAAGCAGCCCACGGAAGAUGACCCCUCGCUAGGAGGCCGCCUGGCUGUGCUCGUUUUCUUGCCUGCAACACUGUAAACGUGAGGAGGCCCAGGGGCUGCGGGCCAGGGGUUGAUUGGCUGCAUCUCAGAUGCCAGUGUUGGCUCGCUCUUAAACAGACACUUAAGCUGACUUUUGUCCAUUCUUCUGAUUUUAAAGCAGUACAAAUGUCAGGAGCCUCUCUUGAUAUUGUCUCCCCAGUUUGUUUUUAAGAGCUGUGGUAAGUGAUCCUAGGAAGCCCUCAGCUGGAGGUAGGACCUCAGACUGAUCUGCAGUUUCUGGAGCAUUCAUGCUGCCCGGCGCUUCUGGGUGCUUGCCUCUGAGUGAGAGGGCCCAUGGUUCACUGCCCUGUUUAGAGUUGUCAGAAACCUCAAGCCAGCCUCCUGCCAGUGAGGUUCUGCCUCACCUGGUGGGAGUUGUAGCUGGAAUGGGUUUGGCACCUGGGCAGGUGAGAAUUCGUAAAUGUUCGCAGGAUAUCUCAGAUGCCAUGUUACAGUUUUGUCCUGAGAGUAUGGUGGAGCUCGCUCACCAGGCUGCAGAGGCAUCACUGCCUGCCACUGAGCUGUUGUCCAGGGCACAUGUGGGGCCAGUAUUAGGAGGAAGGAUCUGUGGGCGACUCAUCUCAGGGCUGCUGUUUGUCCUCUUUGUCCCCAGCCAGGCAUCUGUCCCGUCAUCAAGGUCAUGGGAAAGGGCACCACACCCACCUGCUCUGUUGGCACCUGCCUCAUGGUGCCACUCCCACCCUCAGGUCCAGGACCUGCUAGAGGACACCUGGCAACUGUGGCAGUGACUUGUCCUGCCACUGCUGUGCCGCUGGUGUGCCUCAUAACCUGGGGUCUGAUGUGACCUUUCUAUGGCAGGUCCUGCACCUGUAAAGUGCAGACCUGGGGACAGGGACUUUUAGGGUUGCUGUGAGGACUCAAUUGUUAGUGCAGGCAGGGAGCCCAGCAUGGGGAGGGGCCCAGGAUGUGGAGCUGAGACCACCUGCAUCCUCGAAUCUCUGUGUGUCUCCUGCCCUGGAGCUGAGGGGCCGCUGCCACUGCCUCUGUCCUUGGCCACCUGUAGCUCCUGCACCCUCCUCAAGCCCCAGAGAGGCCUGCUGGCAUCCCUGGCAGAGACCUGGCAUCCUCCCUCACCCGGAGGUGCCUCUGUUGUGCGGUGUGACCGUGCUUGGCACUGAGGAAGUGGAAUGGCUGGAAUUCCAGGUGGAAUGGCUGUCUCCUGACCCAGAGGAGGGUGGGGCAGGGGUGCUGUGGGGUGGGGUGGGUUGGGCCCGCCCCUCCCAUGGUGUAUGAAGACCCGUCAGUUCAGCCCCUGGGGAGUUGUGGAGCCCCAGAUGCUCCUUGCUGAGCACAGAGAGAGAGCUUCAUGACCUCCUCUCUGCCGGAGUCCUCCUACCCAUCCUGUCCCCACCGCGACCCUGGGCAGUCUGUCUCUGUUGGCUGGGGUAGACAAUAUGCAGGCCGGCUGUCCGAAUUGGUUCCAUGCUCUGUGGCAGUUCCACAUCCCUGUGUUUGUGCAUUUUGCUCCUGUGCGAGGCUCUUCAGAGCCCUUGUGCCCCUGGAGUGUUGGAAGAGGCCUGUAUGGGUGGGCCUGCCUGUUCUCCGGGUCUCGAUCCUAGUGGGUCCUGCACUUCUGCCCUGUGGCCUGCCCCUCCUGCCUUGCUGCUCUGCAGGGUGAGCAGGGGCGUGGAGAGCUAGGGGCUCCUGGCCGCAUCUGUACUGGGGCUACUGGGGCCUUCGCCUUGCUCCUGGAGGUUUGUGCGCAGCUUCCCCACCUAGGGGAGGAGCCCUGCUCGAAACCGAUUUCUUGUCCUGGGGCCAUCGCUUUUGUGCAGGGCUUUGCAGGGCCCUGGUGUAUUUGAAGAAGCUAAAAAGCCCUUGCCACAGUGGAAAGGGGUGCUGGCUAAUUGGCAGCUUUAUUUAUUUAUUUCUGGCUGAGUGGUAAACAGCGCUGAUUCUUCGCACAGCGGGAACAGAUUGGGAGGCAUUUACCUGAUUGAUUCCUCACCUGCAGUGCCGCGCUGCCAGAGGAUCUAUCGAUUCGGCGCCACCUGCCAGGCCCACUCUGAAACAGGCUUAAUUGCCUCCGACUCGUUUCCUGAGAUGGCACGUCCUGGGCGUCCUCGCCUGGAGGCUGCUGCCUCUGGGGGUGUUGACGCCUCUCUUGUGUGCCCUUGGUGGGUCGUGUGCUCCUUGGGUGGACUGGGGUGCUCUCCUACAUGGUAGGGAAGGAAACCCAACUGUUACCAGCUCAAGCACAAACAGAGCCCACCUGGUGUCAGCUGUGCUCACACAUAGGACCAGGUGCUCGCCAGUGCCCUCUGUCCCACACCCCAGCCCAGUUUCGCUUGCUGGGAGCCCUCCUGCAGCGUCACUGGGUUGUGACGUGCAGUUUCAUCUCAGUCCCUGAGCCAGUUGAGCUCUCCUGCUGCUCUCUAAGCCACACUCAGCAGAAGAGAGGCAGGCGAAGUACCGGCCGCCUUGUUUGUACGCUUCCCUACCAGGGCAAGACAGGCAGAUGGUGGCGGGGGGGGAAGCUUACCUGGGAGGGGUGCUGGGUGGGCUGCGGCCGUCACCACCUACACAGACGCCAUGGCGGCACAUGUGCAGCUCUGGAUGCAUCCUGCCCUGUGACUUCCCAGCUGCGCCUGGGGGUGUGCGCAUCAGCCUCACACCAACACCAUGGCGGCACAUGUGCAGCUCUGGACACAACCAUGUGACUUCCCAGCUGUGCCUGGGGGUGAGCAUUAGCUCCAUCACCUGUGCACCUGCACAGCUGGCAGGCAUGGCCCCAGCACUGGAGCUGACUUGCUGUCUUCUCUGACCAAGGCCGUAUCCUUCUUGCCUCUCACCUGCCUGGAGAAGGCCAGAGUCAGCUCCUUGGUUUAUGGUUCCAGGACCUGGUGAUUGGCUGCUUUAAGUGAUAGUUAUCAAGGAGCUAGAGAAUAUUUUAAGACACUUUGAGCUGUGAGAUUCAGUGAGGCACAUGAGGUGGACAGGUCUGACAUGGGCAGUCUGAGCAUUUCCCCAGCCCGCUGGCCACAUGCAGGGUGGCCACUGCUCCGACCUCUCUUAGUGAUGGCUUUCCUGUGGAUGACAUGAGGCAGUUCUCCCUGUCCCUCCAGACUCCCCCAGGAAGCCACUGUUAAGACUCGAGGCCUUUUUCCAAGAGUUUCUCUGUCCCUCCUGUUUCCCUGUCCCUGCUCCAGAAGCCACUGUUAACACCCAGGGUCUUUUCCCCAGUGUGUUGGCACAUCUUGGCUCCCUGGCCCUUCUGUGCCCCUCUGCCGGUUCCUCAGGUGUCCACUCAUCCAAGCCCAUCUGGCUGCUAUAUGGGCCUGCAUUCCUGUUGUGCCAGCCCCUGCCUGGUGCUGGAGAGGAUGGAGAGUGAGGCAGACAGAUCUCAUCAUCUGGAGUAUACAGGCCUGCAAGGGAGGUUGGAUGUCAUUGGGCUCGUAGAGAACUAGGGAAAGGUGUGGGCUUUCCCUCCCUACCCGCCCCUUCCCCACCAGGCUCUGGUGCCAGAGGCUGAGUUUGGCCAGGUUGGUUCUGGGCCCGAGCAGCCUCCUGCUGGUGACAGUUCCAGGAUGCCCUGAUCCACAGUGUAGUCCUGUUCCGCUCCCUCCCAGGAACCCAGAGGCCUGUUAUUCUGAGGUCUGUGGUUUCUAAUGAAGCCUGAUUCAUGGGGACAGUGUCAGUGAGCACCUGCCUGGCAGUGCACCCCUGGGCACCGUGAAUCUGCUGAUGAGCCUCUUGUAGCAGCUAUGAGGCCGUGCCUGCCACUCCCAGGGGGGCUCCAGGCAGGGCCAUGCUCCUGAGCUCUGCCUGGACCAAGUGUGUGUGGUGUAUUUGCAGCCUCCCUCGUCCCUGCCUGUCCCUGUUGUGCCCGGCAGCUGCUGGUGGCCUGGGUGUGGAGGCCUCUCUCUCAUGCUGAGCAGAGGUUGGGAGAGGGCCCCCUAGGUGGAGGAGCUACAUCUGGGCUCAUCCUCCUGGCAGUGCCCAGUGCCUGCACCUCAUGUGGAAACUGGGCCAAUCAGUGAGUGGGGGACUGAGAUCACGAGGCCUCAGGCAGGAAGGGCCCCAGAGCUGCCUGGUCUAGCUCAUCCUAGUGAAUGCUGUGGCGGGACCCCUGCCCCGGGAGCCCGCACCAGGAGUGUCCUUACAGCAGGGGCUGGUGUGUCUCUGCAGGAGCCCUGCCGUCACCAUGCAACUCCGCUUAGGCCCAGCUCCCUCGAGUCCAAUCGUGCUGUGAUGGCAGCUGCCUGUCUUCCUUGCUGGGCCUCCCUGAGGCCGGGGUCUGUGUCUGCCCUGGAGCAGGUGAAGGGGUGAAGACCUUUCUUGCCCUGCCCUGGAGGCCACACCAGCCUGUUGGGACCCUAUUCUGAUCCCGGCCUGCAGCCUUAGAAACAGAGGCAGCUCCAAGGUUCUGCUCUCCCCCGAGUUCCUCCCGUGAGGGGUUCACAGACUGCCUUCCUGCCUCCUGUCCUGCACCCCUGCUUUUCUUGGCAUAUGCUCUUGUUUACAAGUCUCUCACACAGUGAUGCUCUUAGAUAAUUAUUAUGUUUCUAAAAUGCCUUGGUUUUGUGGUGUUGGGGAAACAAAGCAACAGAACACACAGUCCUGGCUCUGAGGAAGCCUCUGGGUAGGCUGGGCAAGAGUCAGACCCAUGGGGCGCAGGAAGCCUGGCAGAAGGCAGCACCGACGUCUGGGCUUCAGCUUGGCGCCUGCACUGCCAGUGCCUCCUCCUGGUGCCAGGUUCUGGGGAAGCCAUGCAUAUUGCAGUGUGGUGACCCCCAUGGCCACCACCCCAUACUUUCCAGGGUGUGGUGGUCAUAGUCCUGGGCUUUCUCAGAGGAUGGUGCUGGCUAUGGAGGCUGGCCGCUGCAGCGCUGCUUUUGUUAUCAGCUGGGAGAAAGUGAUGGAGGGCGUUGAGCUGGGUGAGACUUUAGGAGGUGUGAUUUGCUGUAACACACAGGCGGGGCUGUUGGGGUGAGCACAUGCCACUGUGGUCAGGCUGUAAGGAAUGGUCCUGAAAGACAGGCAGCAGGGGAAGGGGUACUGUGUUGGGCAAAGCCAGCAGGUGGAGAGGGCCAAGAGAGGAGGAGGCUGCCUCACCACCGACCCAGCAUGAGGCACUUGACUGCAGGAGGCUUUGCUUCAUUUGGAUAAGUGAAAAGGCAGGCGCCACUGGGUCCCAGGGAGAGCCCAGAGGGCCUGAUGGGAGGUUGGAGAGUGUGACCUGGGGCUUCUCCACCCAGGGCUUCUCCACCUGGGGCAUUGCUAGGGAUGUCUUGGGCGAGUCCUGGGAGGAGGUGGAGCGAGGAGUAUGCUGAGGGUAGCUUUUGGGGAAUAAGGAGCUCUUGGUUGGAUGCUUGGAAUGAGGGGAGAUCCGAGAUCAGAGUCAUGGACCCCAGCGAGGAGCCAGUGGGAAAGAGCCCAGGGGUCUGGAACAGUUGUUGCGGGACAUGUGUAGCAGCCCUCUGUAAGCCGCAUGGGUGUGGCCGGGACCAUGCUGGGGGUCCCCUGCUGGACUGGCAGGCUCUCCUUCCUCGGCAGCACUUUGGGUUUCAGGGUACAUUGUCACUCAGCACAGGUUGCCCCCCAGAUCUCCAGCCCUCUGUCCUGCAGCCUUAGCUCACCUGCUGCUAAGUCAAGGGCUUGGAGGCCUCUGACAUCUGCAUGGGGGCCAGAGCACCGGCACGUGCUGUCUCCACAGUCGGGGCCUGAGAGCUGCCUGGGGCCAAAUUGCGCAGGGCUGGGAGGAUGUAAAGAGCUGCUUUUGUGGCAUUGCACAGCUUUGCACAGCUGUAGAGAGUGUGCACCCCACGAUAGCUCCUGCCCAGUGCAUCUGGGUGGGAGGUGGAGGGCUCUCACUCCCGUCCCAAACUAUGUGGCUCACUGUCAGAAAGGGUGUGUGACAGAGACAUGGUAGAGAAGGCGCUACAGAGAGCUACAGCCUGGGAGCUUCUCAUGUCUGUGAACCAGGGAGGGGGCACUCCUCUGGUCACUUCACUUUUUGUUGUUGUUUGUUGUUUGUUUGUUUUUGAGACAGAGUCUCGUUCUGUUGUCUAGGCUGGAGUGCAAUGGCAUGAUCCUGGCCAUUGAACUCGCCAGGAAGCUUGAACUCGCUUCCUGGGUUCAAGCGAUUCUCCUCCCUCAGCCUCCCAAAGUAGCUGGUAAUUAAAGGCACAUGCCAUCAUGCCUGGCUAAUUUUUGCAUUUUUAGUAGAGAUGGGUUUUUACCAUGUUGGUUGGGCAGGUCUCAGACUCCUGAGUUAGUGAUCCGCCUUCCUCGGCCUCCCAAAGUGCUAGGAUUACAGAUGUUAACCAGCACACCAGGCCUGGUCACUUGUUUUGAGGGAAGAAUGGAGAGGGAGGGAAAGGAGGGCACUGGGACAGGAGAAAUUUCAGAGUAGAUGAAACACAGCAGGAGGCCGGGCUGCCUGGUGUGAACCUCCUUGCUUUGUGAAAACACCCCUUUGCCAGCAGCACUGGGCAGCACUCACCCUGUAGCCCUGGAACUCGAGCCCGACAGCUCCUGCUUAUCAGCGCGGGCAUCUGGGAGGCAGACCAUCAUGCAGGGCUGGAUGCUGGGUUGAGCAGGGGGCAGCUGGGUGCAUGGAACCUGUGGCCUUGAUGGAGGACAGCUCAGCUCCAGGUCUGCACUGCAGGUCAAGGCUCAGACACGGGAGGACACUCGCUGGGCACCUCUCCUCUGAGAGCAGGCUGUGACCCACAUGGCUGUGGAAUGCUAGGGAUGUGUUUGUGCGUGCCUCAUGUCACCUGUGAAAUGCCUGUGAGAUGCAAUGUGGGUUUUGGAGGGACGUGCUCAGCUGAUGGCAGUGCCUCAUCCCGAGGGAAGACUGAGCUGAGCCUGCCCUGAGAUGGCACGAACCUGUGGUGGAGGCAGUGUGUGGGCAGGGGCUGGGAGGGACGGCCCUGUUCCUUCACUUCCUGUCACUUGCCCCAGGGAAUUUGGACAUUGAGGACCUGUCACUGACAACAGCCUUGAUAAGGCUUGCUGGGGAGAAAAUACUGGCCCAGCAUGUUGAGUGGUCUGCGUCUUGCCACAUUCAUACCGUGCGCUGCAGAUGCUGGGCAGACCCCUGUGUGCACACGCUUCCACAUGGCCAAGCUCCUGUGGCUCUCACGCAUCACUUGGGGCUGACCUCCUUGCUUCUGGGAGCCUGACGGCAGCACUGGGGGAGGCCCUGCUGGUCAGGAGGGAGGGUUCACCUGCAUAGUGUGCUGGUGAGAUAUGUGACCACUGAUCACACUCUGCGUGUGUCGUGCGUGGGACUGGUUCUGCAGAGGAGCCCCCAGAGUAGGGCUGACACUGUACCCUGGAUGCUGCCCUGUCCACUCCAGUGGAGGGUCUGACAGGCUGCAGCUAAAUGACACCGCUGGCAGCACACUGGCCACUUGGGAUGAGUGUUGGCUGCACAGGGUGGAGGGCGGUUAAGGGACACUGAGCUGGCCUCAUGGGCUGGAGACUUCUAGGGCAGUCAGGCGACCUGAUCCUCUCCUGUCCUGCCCAUUGCUGGAUGCUAGGGAACAUUUGGGGUAUACUUAAGGGGCCAUAACUAUGGAAGGGACUGGGGCCAGGGAUGCCAGUGUCCGGCAGUUGUUGGGAUGUUUGUGGAUACAAGUGAGUUGUUUUGCCCCAAAGGCCAGCAGGGCUCUAUGGAGACACACCCCUCAUGGUUGGGCACUUCCUGAUGCUGUCCUCUCCCCAGCAGGGCUUCUGUCGUCCCCUAUCCUGUGUUUAUUCUCACGCUGCUAGUAAACACAUACCCGAGACUGGGUGAUUCAUAAAGGAAAAUGGUUUCAUUAACUCACAGUUUAUCAUGGCUGGGGAGGCUGCAGGAAAAUGAAAAUCAUGGCGGAAGGGAAAGCAAACACGUCCUUUUUCCUAUGGUGGCAAGAAGGAGAACUGCCAAGCAAAAGGACGAAAAGCCCCUUAUAAAACGGUCACAUCUCUCGAGCUCACUCACUAUCAUGAGAACAGCAACAUUGAACAAAAAGGGGAAAAGCCCCUUAUAAAACAGUCACAUCUCUCAAAAGCUUACUCAUUAUCAUGAGAGCAGCAGUGAGAGGGUAACUACCACCAGGUCCCUCCCAUGACCCAUGGGAAUCAUGGAAACUAAGAUGAGAUUUGGGUGGGGACACAGUCAAGCCGUGUCAUAUCACACCUCCUCAUUGUGAAUUGGCAGCCUCCUGUCAGUUGAGACCACGACCUUGGUGGCGGCCUCCGUUUGUGUGUUUCUCACAGCCUCUAUCUGCACCAGCAAAUGCUUGUGGAGCUGGAUUGCCUGUGAGUUUGCACAGGGGUUGACUUGGCUUGGGAAAAUGCCCUGGGAAUGGGGUGCAGCUUCCCUACAGAGCCUUGCUUCUCCCUGGCAGUGGCCCCUGGGCCUGCCAGGCUGUUCAGCAAGGAGGGACCCGGGGAACGUAGUAUUACAGGAGACUCUUAGCUGCUUCUGGUCUUUCCUGCCUGCUUUGGCUGCCUGCCUGGCUGUCUCUGCCAGCCUGAGCUCUAGAAAAGGCUGUGUUCCCAGUGUCAGAGCCUGGACACCCUCUCUGGCUGCACUGGGAGCUCCCCGAAGUCGGGUUUCCUUGUCUUCAGAUGGUGAUCAGCACUGUGCCAUGCUGGGUGUUUGAUGUGGGCCUUCACUUGUUCAUUGCAGAUACUUCUUCAUCUCCACUGUCUUCUUUGCCAUGAACACACUUCAGGAUCUCCUGGGACUUUGUGCAGCACUGCCCAGGCCUGCAGAGGCAGGGUGCAGACCUCCUUGUACGUGGUGAUGUGCCUGCCUCCUCAGCUAAGGCCCUCUCACGGACUCUGGGACAUCCAGAUGCCAUACUCUCUGCUAGGUCCCAUGGCCUGUCCUGCCUCUUCCUCAGGUCUCUUCUCUGGCUUUUCUGCUCCAGCCAGAUGGACCUGGGCCCCCUGCACCAGUAUGACACAUGACCUGUUACUGCUUUUCCACUAACUGCCACUCCCACAGCUCUGUUUACACACAUGAGCCCCCCCGCGCUGGCCUGCCACGUGUGAGCACCUGGCUUAUCCAGGCCCUGCCCACCUAAGGUCUUGCUGGGGACACCUUGAUUUCCCCGCCCUGGCAUUUGUCAUCUGUGCUGGCUCUCUGGGGGCUUGCUGCUCCAUCGUCCUUCCUGGUGAGAUUCUCAUCUCUUAGAGGACAGAGGCUCCUUGUCGCUCUGUUCAGGAGGCGUUUGUUCCACACCUGCUGUGUGCAGCCCACUUUAGGUGCUUCAGGAACAUGAGAUGAGUCAGGCCUGAGUCUCGUUCGUCCUCCAGCGCUCGGCGCACAUGCAGCUGCCUGCCCUCCAGCUGCACCCACACACUCUACUCCCCAGGCCUGGCUCUUGCUCCCUGUGGUACUGGGAAGGGGGCUUAAGAGGAGCCUGCAGCUAGGACUGCUGGGAGCAGCAGCCGACAUGCCAGUGUGGACAGUGAGGUCCUCUCAUGCCCUUCAGCUCUUUCUAUGGUUGCCUUGGCUCUUAUUUCGUGUUGAGGAAACAGAGGGAUAUUGGUUAGAGUGUGGUUGGUUAAGUGGUGGGCAGUGGGGCUGGGCCCUGUUCCCACUGAGCCUGAUCCCCGCUCCACGGUCUCUGUCAGUGCAGCCCCCUUCUGUGUUGAGGUGGUGGGAUGCUGGCAGGAGAGGGUUGUUGGCCUGGGGCAGGAGGAAUGGGAAGUCAUGACCUGAGAGCUUCUCCCUGCAGCACCCGCCACUGUCCCCUCCUGAUGGCAGUGCCCAGGCUGUGCCUCACUGCAUUCCCUCUGCUCCCACUGCUCCAUGCAGGCCACGAAUGGCAUGUCCUUCUUGUUGGCCAGGAUUCAUCCGGACCUUGGGGGCAGGGCCAUGGUUUCCCUGGAUGUGCCCGUGCGGGAGCCAUGCAGACUGAGUGCCUGCAGCCCUGGUGUCGACACGACAUAUGGAGCCCCCAUCCAGUGCCUCCUCUGACCCCAUGACCCUGGAACAUGCCAGGAUUGCUGGGAAGGGUCCUGAGCCAGCGCCCCUUGCGUCCUUCUGCAUGGGGGCUUCCACAUUGCGUCAGUGGUGGGCCCCAGGUUCUAGGGAGCCCUGGGUCGCGGGCCUAGGAUAGCAGACUGAGCGGGUGCUGCUCCAGCUGUUUGGGCUCUGGCAGGUCUCCCAGGUGCUCCGCUCUUUUCUGCUACACUGGUCCGGAAGGCUCCCUGCUGGUGCAGCAGUGCUCACUGGAAAGCAGGGCUUUGAGGCCCUUGUGUUUGCAAAGCAGAUCCUUACCGAGAGCCCAGAACUACCUGUGGGCCUCAAAAGAUGGGUCUGGCAAGUGUCUUGCGUGAAGGGCCAGAAGGGCUUUGUUGGGUAGGGGGUGGGGUCUCUGUUGAAGAUGCUGAACUCUGCCACUGUGCUAUGAGGGCGACAAUGCUAUUCGUAUUUGAUUCUGUAUGACUGUGCUCCAACAAAACUUU